This 625-nucleotide ribosomal RNA is filed under the name Hydroporus dorsalis. RNAcentral describes it as "partial 16S ribosomal RNA". It matches the Rfam family "Bacterial large subunit ribosomal RNA", at positions 1819 to 2731 of the family's 2925-position model. The record is from RNAcentral. Lineage: Eukaryota; Metazoa; Arthropoda; Insecta; Coleoptera; Dytiscidae.
GUCCUUUAGAUAANUAUAAUUUAAGGUCUAACCUGCCCAUUGACUUAGUUAAAAGGCCGCAGUAAUUUGACUGUGCAAAGGUAGCAUAAUCAUUAGUUUUUUAAUUAAAAGCUUGUAUGAAUGGUUGGACGAGAUAAAAUCUGUCUCUAAAUAAUUAAUAGAAUUUAAUUUUUAAGUUAAAAAGCUUAAAUUUAUUUAAAAGACGAGAAGACCCUAUAGAUCUUUAUAUAAUUAUUUUUAGUAUUAAUUAAGAAAAUUUUAUUUAUUAAUAAUAUUUAUAUUUUAUUGGGGUAAUAAGAAGAUUAAAAAAAUUCUUUUUAAUUAAACAAUAAUUAUUGAUUAUAUGAUCCAUUUUUAGUGAUUAUAAGAUUAAGUUACCUUAGGGAUAACAGCGUAAUUUUUUUAAAGAGUUCUUAUCAAUAAAAAAGUUUGCGACCUCGAUGUUGGAUUAAAAGUAAUCUUAGGUGCAGAAGUUUAAGGUUUUGGUCUGUUCGACCAUUAAAUUUUUACAUGAUCUGAGUUUAGACCGGCGUAAGCCAGGUUGGUUUCUAUCUUUAAUUAUUAAAUAUAUUUUAGUACGAAAGGACCAAAUAUAUAAUAUAUUUAUAUUUAUUUUUUUGAAUUA